This is a long non-coding RNA of Cucurbita maxima (winter squash), 1000 nucleotides long. RefSeq lists it as uncharacterized. The transcript is spliced from 3 exons. The record is from RefSeq and is a predicted model, not a curated record. NCBI's taxonomy places the organism in Eukaryota, Viridiplantae, Streptophyta, Magnoliopsida, Cucurbitales, Cucurbitaceae.
AAAGAAAAAAAGAAUAGAAAUUAAUUCUAGAAGGAGAAGGAAAGUUCUAGAGAGAGAGAGAGGGAAAGCAUCGAGGGAGUAAGGUAACCGCCGGCCACGAGAAGUCCGGUUCCGGUCGAACCUUCUUCAUGAAAUCUUCACAGAAUCAGGGGAGAACAACUCUCAAAUCGUCCAAAUCCGUCAAGGAUUCAAGAAAAUCCGUAGGGAGCCUUGAUGGAUUUGGAAAAGAGUUGUUCCAGCUUUGAAUUGAUAGAUGUGAGGAAGAAGGCGGAGUGAUGAGGAAGAAGGCGGAGUGAUGCGUUUCAGGCAAAGAGAGGGCCGCGCGUUGUCGGAAUGGUCGACACGUGUCCGGCGUGUAUUGGCGGAGAAAUUCAACGAAAUGCUUCGCGUCGGGCAGGAUACGAACGCCGGCAGCCGCUACUCGAGUCCGCGACCCGAUGGCCCGCGCGCAACCCGGAUCACCGACCCGGCUUCGCGUUGCCAUGCGUCAGCGUAAAAGAAUUCGGAUUUCCAGCGCGUUCUUUCCGGUUUCGAACCGACGACCUCGACCUCGGCUGACCGUUCAGCGGGCGCCACGCGGCAUUACCUCAGCGCGCGUCUUCCCUCCCUCAUGCGCGUCCGUACACGCGCGUGGCUUUGCGCGUGUAACACAUUUCCAGACGCGUGUGAGCGCGUGAGGUGCCGUUUUCAGCCCGUUCAACGUCUGUUUUUCCUGAAUUUCCUCCCGAUUCCAACUCUAACCCUAUUUCUAAUAUGAAAUAGGACUUAAUAGAGAAAAUUAGUACUUUGUAGACACAGUAUUCGAGUAAAAGCGCUAAACGAAGAACACGCGUCAAUCAGGUAAGUCAUCAUACGGAACUUUAGAAAGAAAUACUUGUAGGAAUCACUUGGUUAUACAUGCAUGUUAGUUUAAUUACCUUAGGUGGUAACUUUCCAUGAUUGAAUGAUUGAAUGUAUGUAACUUGGUUGUUAAGAGUAUGGAUGUAUUAUGUGAAGUAUU